AAAAAACACUUUCCAGAUACUUUUACUUUGUUACGACUAA
Molecule: ribosomal RNA, 40 nt
Filed under: Ixodes loricatus
Lineage: Eukaryota; Metazoa; Arthropoda; Arachnida; Ixodida; Ixodidae
Description: partial 12S ribosomal RNA
Source: RNAcentral